This 30-nucleotide non-coding RNA is filed under the name Mus musculus (house mouse). Lineage: Eukaryota; Metazoa; Chordata; Mammalia; Rodentia; Muridae. The record is from RNAcentral.
UAUUGAUGUUUUUGCCAUUGUGACUCUCAC